AACGAACGCUGGCGGAGUGCUUAAGACAUGCAAGUCGAACGAGAAAGUCGUCUUCGGAUGGCGAGUACAGUGGCGCACGGGUGAGUAACGCGUGGGUAAUCUGCCCCUAGGUCUGGGAUAACCCUGGGAAACUGGAGCUAAUACCAGAUAAGACCACGAUGUCUUCGGAUGAUGUGGGAAAAGGUGGCCUCUCCUUGGAAGCUACCGCCUUUGGAUGAGCCCGCGUACCAUUAGCUUGUUGGUGAGGUAACGGCUCACCAAGGCAUCGAUGGUUAGCUGGUCUGAGAGGAUGAUCAGCCACACUGGAACUGAGACACGGUCCAG
This 324-nucleotide ribosomal RNA is filed under the name uncultured bacterium. RNAcentral's name for it is "bacterial SSU rRNA". It matches the Rfam family "Bacterial small subunit ribosomal RNA", at positions 29 to 334 of the family's 1533-position model. The record is from RNAcentral.